AAUCAUAAGAUAACUUGUAUUUAUGUCUUCUGUGAAUCCACAUGGUGAUCACAUAAAUACAUAUAAUAUGAUUAAAUGGACUUUAAUACAAAUAUUAAUGCAAUUAAGAUAUUUGAAUAAAAUACCUCAUUUAUUUUAUUAAUCAGAAAAAAUUGUUUAUUACAAUUAAAUAAACACAUAUGCUUUUAAAGAGCAUAUUUUCCCAACACUUAUAGACGUAGGAAACCCCAAGGGAGUUCACUCACAACUGUCGUCAGAGUCUUUGUUGCCUCUAUAUCCAAAUUAUCCUACAGGUGUCCUAGGCAUGCCUCUGAGCUCUACGAGAGAAGUGACAUUAAUGAUCUCUAUGUUGUGCCGCAUAGUCGUAGCCUCAGGUUUGCAUUCUCUCGGUCUCUGACUCUGUACUGCCCCCUUCCCCUGCCAUCCAUCCACUGUACUUGAUAGCUAGCGUGAUUUUGUAAUCUAUUCUGCAGGUGGCUAGACAAGGCCGCCAUUAUAUUACCGAACAAGACGCUUAGGCAACAAGAAAGAAACAGAUGGAGAUUGUGCAGUGUUACCGAAGUUGAAGAAACAAAAUGUCUUGUACAUUUGAUUCCAAUUUGUUUCACUUUCAUCAUACCAGGAGUAGUUUCCUCAAUUGGAAACACUUUCUUUCUUGAGCAAGCAGAAGUUAUAAACGGAAAAGAUGGAGGAAAUUUUAGUUUCGGUCCUCUAUUGCUCCUACUGUUGUAUUACAUCUCGAAAGACCGUUUCACGGCCUUCUACGAAGGAUUUGUUGGACAUCUCACUUCAGUAGGAUGGAACGCCGUAGCUCAUGUCGUUGGAUUUGCAAUGUCAAUGAUUCUAUCAAUACUAUGCUGAGUAACAGCAGCAAUAGUCGAGACUCGGAGGUUGGAUGUUGUUAGAAGCCAUGGUUUAAUUGACAAGCCUGAUGAAAAAAUCCCCAUGAGCUUGUUUUGGCUGCUGCCACAGUUUCUACUUCUCGGAGCCGCUGAUGGGUUCUAUGAAAAAGGCAUUGAUAUGUUCUUCAGCGAUCAGUUUCCUCGCAUGAUUUUCAGAUAUCUGAAGUACAUUUUUGUUGCUACUAUGGGAGUAGGAAUUAUUGGCAGUACCCUGUCCGUUUACUAUGCGGGAAUCAUCAGUGAAAGGAUCGGGAAACAUAAUUGGUUUCAGGACACGCUUAAUUUGAGCCGUUUGGAUAAUUAUUACUGGCUUUUGGCUGCAUUGACAGCAGCCAAUCUUGCUGUGCUCAUUAUAGCGGCAAUGCGGUUUCCUUACAAUUAUUUGAGCUUGGAACAGAUUGAUAUCGAUGAUGGGCCUCUGAUAAAGAUGAAGAUAAGGUCUAAUUAUUUGUUCGGAUGAAGACAAGGUUGAUGCUUUGAUGAAGACAUAUAAUAAGGUCCAAUGGUUGUUGAUAUUGCUCCCAGGAGUUUGGCUAAACACUGACUCCACAGUAUCAAGUUUUCUAGCAUGUGUCUGGUGGGUUAAUUACCUUAGAGUAAUGAUACAGCCACAAAUUUUUGUACAAAUUUAUUUUGUACAAACUGACGUAGAAUUAAUUCAUUGGUUGAAUGAAAAUAUAAAUUAAUAAAAACAAAUCAUGUGGGCCAAGUGAUAUUUAAUUCAAUCAAUCUUAUUAUGCCACAUCAGUUUGUACAAAAUAAGUUUGUACAAGAGUUUGUAGCUGUAUCAUUACUCAUUACCUUAUUGACUUAUCUCUCAUUUUGAGCCUUUUAAAUCUCCGCUUGUCUUUGUGCUUAGAGAUCUUCUAUUAUAACAAUCUUGUGAGAAUGAGAUUCGUUUGGCUGUAACUCUUAUAGUCUUAUUGAUAUUUAACUGUAGUAAAAUUUUCCUUCGAUUCCCCCCCCCCUAAAAAAAAAAAAUUGAAGUGUGGGAUUUUGAGAAGUGUAGUACUGCAAAUAGAAGAGAAGAACGAUCUUCCACGUCUUUGUCCCGAAUUCUUUCUCAUGAUCGUAGUGCCUGUCGCUGCACUUAUGGUAAUUUCUCACAUAAAGCCUUGGAAUCUCAGAUUUGGGAUUUCACCAAUAUGUUCUUGUAAGCAACAAGAAAGAAAUAGAAGGAGACAAUGCAGAGUUAGAGAAGUUGGCCUUUUACGAAUGACUCCAAUUUGUUCAACCUUAAUCACAAGUGAAAAGCCAUUAUCGUAAUACGUACUUUUACCGUUGGGUUAGUUUUGGAUUACCAAAUAACAAUAUUUAAAAUACCUUUUUGAUUGAACUCGCCCCUCCUAGUUAAAUUUUUGGCUCCACCAUUGAAUAUGAUGAUCUUCUUGUGCCCAACACUUUCCAUUAAGCUUGUCGUAAUAAAUGCUUUCUUGAAUAAAUAUACAAAAUUUUGUUGGAACUCAUUUUCUUAUUUUACUGAAGCUCAUAAUAUAAAUAAAUUUUGGUGAAACAGGUUUUCUCUCAUUUUUCUUAUUAUAUCCUCUCUAAAACUUGAUACUCUCAAAUAAAGGUGGGCAUUCGGAUCAGGUUAACUAGAGCUGGCAAAACGGGUCAUCGGGUCUUGUUCGUGUCGUGUCAGCUUCGUGUCGUGUCAAAUUUAGGUCGACCCAAACUUGGCCCAUUUAAUAAUCAUGUCAAAAUAUUGAGACCCAAACCCGACACGGAAAAAUAAUUGGGUUACCCAAUAACCCGUUUAAUAUCUAUAUAUUGAACAAAAGUUACAUCAAAUAUUUACACACUAUCAUACAUACGUAUGUACAUACAUACAUACAUACAUACAUACAUAAUUUAUCGAUAUUAUAAAAUAUACAUAUCUACCAAUAUAUUACACAUGUACACUAUUGAGGUUUUAAUUAUAUAUAUAUAUAAUAUUAUAUAUCAAUAUUAUAAAAUAUACAUGUCUAUCAAUUUUUACACAUUUACACUAUUGAAGCUCUAAAUGUAUGUAAAAUUUUAUAAAUAAAACAUUGUGUUUAUAUUCACCCUUUUAAAGAAUAAAAAAAAAGAAAAUCAUCUUUAAUAUUUAAGUUUUAAUUAUAAGAAUAUGUAAAUUAUUUUAAAAUAGAAAAUAUAAUCGGGUCAUUGAUCGGGUAAAUGGGUCAAGAAUUUUAACCCAAACCCGACGCGGAAAAAAAUCGUGUUGACCUGGACCCAACCCAUUUAAUAAUCGUGUUAAAUUUGACGACCCAUACCCAUUUAUUUAUGUCGUGUUCGUGUCAGGUAAUCAGGUCGUGUCAAAUUUUGCCAGCUCUAAGGUUAACAUAAAUCAAAUCGAACCCCAUUACAAAAUUUGAAUGGGUUCAAACUUAGAACCCCUUCAGUUUUAAUUUUAAUAUAUUUAUAUAUUAAAAAACUAGAAGUCACAUACGGAAAAAAAAAAUCAAAAUCGUAAUUCUUCUCUUCUCUUCUUCGCGCUUCACAUCGGCAUAGCCGCAUAGGCACAACUCCAGGCCCAAUACAUUGAUUGCCUCACUCACACACAUUCGCACACUGCCGAUGCUGCUAUCAAUUCCGUUCAGGUGCACUGGCAUUGCACCUUCUAGGCAUUCUUGAGUCGUUCGCUUCCAAUCCAGCUACUGUGGUUGCUGCUGUCACUGCCUUCUUCUUCAUUCGCCAUCGUCAGCCGCACAAGGUAAGGACAUUAAGGUUAUAUUUUCGAUUCCGGUGAUGAAUGGGAUAUGGGGAAAUAUUGUCAAUUGAAUGUAUUUUUUCGGCAGUAAGUGUUAUUUGAUUGGUUCAAUUAAUCACUAGGUGCUUGAAGAAGGAUGUAUCGGCUUUGCAUGCUAGUUUCUUCCAUGCCCUACUGAAAAGAAGCAUUUCAAAUUAUGCUUAUUUGCUUAACGUCAAUUACGGUUGGUCUUGAAACGUGCUCCAAAUUCUUGCAUAUAUUAAAUUGAAUUAUUAUUAUUGUUGUUGUUAUUAUUAUUAUUUUGCAUUGAUUAAGGAUUGAAUUGUUCUAACUAAAUUGAACUCAAACCAAAAUUUAGACCCGAAUUUUUUAGCCGAAUAGAUUUGAAUUGCAUACCUAAACUGAACCAAAUUGAAUUUAUUUCUUGUCGAUUCAAUUUGUGUUCACAUUUUAAACCUAAUUGGGUUUAAUUUUUCAACCCAAUCCGGUUGUAACCCAAAUCAAAACUCGAUCAAUUUGAAUCAAAACCCGAUUUGCCCAACUGUACUAAAAUAUGAAUGAAAAUGAAAACAACCUCCAAUGCACCCAUACAUUGCUUCGUUUCUUGACCAAAUCUAUUCAUUAAUCUGUUUGGAAGUUGAAACAUUUAUUGGAGGAAUCGCUACCUUACCAUAACUAGGCUAUUUCUUCUCUAUAGAUACUUGAGAAUCGAAGACACACUCUCUAUUCAACUGAUCAAGAUUUCCCCCCCACCCCAAAAAAAAAAAGAACAAGUAACGAUGGUGAUUUCUCAAACUAUAAGGAUUAAUCUGGUACUGUGAAGAUCAAAGCCAAAUUAAAUUGUUAGGAUAGCUCUUGGAGUAGCUCGACGGUUCUUUGUCACCACUCAGCUACCUUUAAUCAACUCGGUUGCAGAACAAAUAAAAAAAAAUAUCAUACAUAAUAGCAUACAAUGAGAACAGAAAUAAUAAAGAGAAUAACACAUGAUAUUUAUGUAGUUCAGUUUCGUUAGGCCUAUAUUCUCCGGGAUAAACACACUCUUGUUGGUUUUAUUAAUCAUUAAGGAUAUUUCAAUGGAAGUAUACUUAUUUAAAGAUUAUAGGACUGACAAUCUCUCCCUCUACCCGAAAACUAUUUCACCUAGUUCCUCAAAGUUGUGGACUGGAGUGCAAUGAAUCCAGAACUCGAAGCUACAAAACGGCUGCGUUUUGAGUAAGUGUUUUUAAUCAUAAAUCACGUGCAGUCGCGUGUCACUUAACUUAAGGGAAAAACGGCGUUCCUUUCAGUCGUUUUGGGCAAACUUAAGUGAAGCACGUGAGACAGCAUGUGAGGAAGGAAUCAAAUUCGUUACGAAGCCAUUACACACGCGUCCAAAGGCCGUGUAAUCUGGAUAGAGGCUGAUUGUUGAAGCAGAUAGUGAGUGAUUUUGUGAGCUUUCCGGAGAGUUCCAAGAAAGUGAGAGAGAGUCAUCUUGUUCCUUGUACCUUCCUCUGUAUUAUCUCUGUAGAAUCCAUCUCCAAUCAUCAAUAAAGUUUUUUCUGUGGCUUCUCCCGUGGAUGUAGAUGGUGCAUCUUAUGCACAAUCGAACCAUGUUAAAUCCUGUCUUUGUGUGAGUGUGUUUUGCUUCUUGAUCAGUUAAUCUUGUAUUCUAAAUCUCCAUUAUCCUAGAGCUAAAGUUUUUUGUCUCGAAAUUGAAGCUACAGAUCAGUUGUGGUUUAUUGCUAACAAGUAAAUCAGGCAAUCAAAUCACAACAAAAGUAUUUCUCAAAACUUAGUCUACCUUGGCCGCACUUGGAGCAACACCAUCGAUGAUUUAAACAUCUAAACAACUAUUACAACACUUUGCUAAUCAUUAUGAUCAGUUAUCCAACUGUCAUGUGUUAUAGGCGCGCGGUUAGUUAUCUAACAAUCAUGAGCCACUCCAAUUUUAUUACUAGUUCCUAAAUAACUAUUGUAGCAGUUAUUUAGUCAUUAUAUGUCACGUAAUCUCUAUUGUCAGAUUAGCUUUUAGUGAUAGAGGUCUAACGCAACUAUCCCACCAGUACACCUCAAUCACCUGCUACAUCUGAAUGCAAAGUAGAAUUUAUAACAUAAUCUUAUAGGUAGAGGAGAGUUGAAAUUUGAUAUGUAUAUUUAAAAUUUCUCUGGGUGAUGCUACCAAUUUCGAAGAAUCCCUAUAGAUAAUUAAACUUAACGGAUAAAGUAAAACGUUUGGCAUCUUCAAGUUAUACGAGGUGUUUGAACUCUCACAGUUGAUAUUUUAGUUAUUAUUUUGGAAGGACUUUAAUCUUGCACUUUUGAUUCUUGAUUUUUUUUUUCCUUUUAUCUUUCCCUCUUUCUGCGUGGUAUAGUUUGGCUUUGCACAAUUCAUGAGACAUAGAAACAUGCAUGAAGAAGACAAAGUCGCAUACCCUAAGCAAUAAUUUAACAAAGAUCGCCAUAUAUUCAGCUGUUGAAUUAUUUUAUUAAUUUAAAAAAAUCUGCAAAUGGGGGUUAAGUAUAGAUAUAGGGAAAAGGACAGCUAUGAUUUGGGAAAUUUCGGCAAAUGGGUUAAGCAUAGAUAUUUAUUAGGGAAAAUGAUAAUUACAUUUACACCCCUGAUUUGGGAGAACGGUCAUGGAGACACCUAAAAUUUCUACAAGGGACGUCAAAACUCUCUUCCCUUCAUUUUUACAACUAAUUUAGAUGGAAAAUGUUAAGUUUGUUGUUAUGCCUUUAUGAUGUGCUUGCUGUUUUCCAUAUGGAAUUUUAAAUUAAAUAAAUAAAUAUCUAGGAAAUAUGACUCAACAAAGUAUCUAACUUAGAUAGUAACUUUUGGAGUAGUAAAAUAUUUUGUAUCAAAAUUAUUUUGAAGAAAAGCAAAACUUAUCUACUUCAACAAUAUUGCUGACUUGGUGGUGAAGCAAGACACCUUGAUAAAUUUACAUGAUCUUCAGGAAUUGAAGACUGACUACAUGGCAAAAUCGUUUAUAGAAUUUUCCGCUUUGUAUAUAUCUUUGGUACUUGCACUCGGCGCAUAUUUGUUUUAUGUCCCCUUGUAUAUAUCUUCGGGAGAGGAGCUUGUUUGUCACGUAAAAUUUCUCCGGUUUGCUUUACUUCUAUGCAGUAUUUAUUAUUUUUAUUACAACUAUUUAAUUGAUAUUUUAUUGAACUUGAUAAACCCAUAAUACCGGAUCUUUCAAGAAGGCAUAGACUAUUUUUGCUGUUGGAAGCAUUCUGCAGUUUCUUAUUUUUCUACAACAAACUUUUCUUAUAGUGUGAAACCGAUUAAGGAGAUGAGAAAGACUGAUCACUAAAGAAAAUGAAAUAAGAAAUGAGCAAGUUGGAGAGAGAAAAUUUAGGCCAAAAAUAUAUAUAUCAUAAAUAAUUUAUUUCUCAAAGUCAAUAAUAAAGUAAUUACAUCCAAUCUUCAUCAUUGAUUAAAAAAUGGUUGAUACUUGGUGGUGACCUAAUCCCAUAAUUUAAAAACAAAUAAGGGGAGAACGUACAAUUGUUUUUUAAAGAAUGACUCCCUGAUUAGUCGAGACUAAAGAUUUUACAAUCAUCUCGUGACAAUAAAAUAUUGCAAGGUUAUACAAUUGUAUUUAUUGUUUCUAUUAGAGCUAGCCUUAAUUACCCACUCUAGUCUCUGGCGAGUAGUAAAUCCAUACAUGGGUCGAAUCUCUAUCUAGAGACUUUAUUUUUUUAAUUGAAAAAUAAACAGAAGUAAACAUCUCCCAUAUUAAUAAGGAUAAACUAAAUAUAUAUAUAUAUAUUAUAUAAUCGGAGAAACUUCGGUGACGAGUGUUUUGAGUAACAUCUUUUUGUUUUUUUAAAUUCGUUAUUCUUCUUUCAACAAAUUUUGUUUUGUCGUUUAGUUUGUAAUUCUUUCAAGGAAAAAUAUCAACCGUCUACUCGUUUUUUCUAACUUUUUUUAAAAUACAUAAUUCCUUCUUUUUUUGGAUGGAAUCCACCUAAAAUUACAUUUUGUUUCACUUUUCCACUUCCGUUGGAAUCCGUUAAGAAAACUAACGGAAACUUUAAAAAAUGACAAUUUUACCCCCCAAAACGAAAAUUACAAUUUCACCUUAAAAAUUACAAAAAAUAAUCAGAUUAAAUCUAAUUAUUUUCCCCAUCGGUCAAUAAAGAAAUUAAUUCCAAAACCAUCAAAUGCAGAGUUUUUUUUAAUAUGUCUAUAAUUAGAAUGCUAAAUUAUAACAGUAGUAUUAAAAAUAACUCAAUCUCGCAAACCAUCAAUUGAAUUUAAGAUAAGUAGAGUUUUAUUGUUCAUUGAGUUAUAAUCUCUAGUAGUUAAGAUUUUUUUGUACUUCAUUAACAUACCAAUAAUGAUAUUCAUCAUUAAAUCUGAUUAUUUUUUGCAUGUUUUAGGGUAAAAUUGUAAUUUUCGUUUUGAGGGUAAAAUGGUCAUUUUUUAAGUUUCCAUUAGUUUUCUUAAUGGAUUCCAAACGGAAGUGGAAAAGCGAAACAAAAUGUAACUUUAGGUGGAUUCCAAAAAAAAAAAAAGAAUUGUGUAUUUUUAAAAAAGUUAGAAAAAAUGGGUGGAUGGUGGAUAUUUUCCCUUCUUUCAACCACUCAACCAAAUUUGCUUUUUCAUGUAGAUUGUGUUUGAGUCAAUUGCGUUGCCACAACGCAGUUGUCCUAUCCAUAUAUUUUCAAGAAAAUUCUCCUAAAAGUAUAUGGAUAGAACAUAGCACAACUACCCCAAACACAUUUUUAAUUUAAGAUAUAUUUCAUCCUCUUAAAAUGACGAUCAUCAAUUUAUUCUCAAAAGUUAUUGAAACAUUAAUUUAUCCUUAUUUUCUAUUGAAAACAUUUGAGUUGACCCAAAAAAAAAAGUUAUCCUCCAAAGAAAAAAUAAGGGUAAGUUUGUAAUAUAAGUAGCAUAUUUAUUGAUUUUAAUAGGGAAAACUAGUUUAAUCUAAGACAAGUACAUUUUUCUUUUGAAGUUAAAUUAAUAUUAAGAUUUGAAAAUAAUCAAAUAUGACCAAAUAAGGGUAAGUUUGUAAACGAAAAUUAUAAUUCUGAGUCUGUUUAGUUUGUAAGUCUUAAAGAGUUAUACAUCAAAACUCUUCUAGACACGAAGCAUUCUGUAGUUUCUUAUUUUUCCACAACAAACUUUUCUUGUAGUGUGAAGCUGAUGAAGGAGAUGACAAAGACUGAUCACUAAAGAAAAUGAAAUAAGAAAUGAGCAAGUCGGAGAGAGAAAAUUUAGGUCUAAAAAUAUAUAUCAUAAAUAAUUUAUUUCUCAAAGUCAAUAAUAAAGUAAUUACAUCCAAUCUUCAUCAUUGAUUAAAAAAUGGUUGAUACUUAGUGGUGACCUAAUCCCAUAAUUUUAAAACAAAUAAGGGGAGAACGUACAAUUUUUUUUUAAAGAAUGACUCCCUGAUUAGUCGAGACUAAAGAUUUUGCAAUCAUCUCGUGACAAUAAAAUAUUUCAAGGUUAUACAAUUGUAUUUAUUGUUUCUAUUAGAGCUAGCCUUAAUUACCCACUCUAGUCUCUGGCGAGUAGUAAAUCCAUACAUGGGUCGAAUCUCUAUCUAGAGACUUUAUUUUUUUAAUUGACAAAUAAACAGAAGUUAACAUCUCCCAUAUUAAUAAGGAUAAACUAAAUAUAUAUACAUAUUAUAUAAUCGGAGAAACUUCGGUGAUGAGUGUUUUGAGUAACAUCUUUUUGUUUUUUUAAAUUCGUUGUUCUUCUUUCAACAAAUUUUGUUUUGUCGUUUAGUUUGUAAUUCUUUCAACCACUCAACUAAAUUUGCUUUUUCAUUUAGAUUGUGUUUGAGUCAGCUGCGUUGCCACAACACAGUUGUCCUAUCCAUAGAUUUUUAAGAAAAUUCUCCUAAAAGUAUAUGGAUAGAACAUAGCACAACUACCCCAAACACAUUUUUAAUUUAAGAUAUAUUUCAUCCUCUUAAAAUGAGAUCAUCAAUUUAUUCUCAAAAGUUAUUGAAACAUUAAUUUAUCCUUAUUUUCUAUUGAAAACAUUUGAGUUGACCCAAAAAAAAAAAAGUUAUCCUCCAAAGAAAAAAUAAGGGUAAGUUUGUAAACGAAAAUUAUAAUUUUGAGUCAGUUUAGUUUGUAAGUCUUAAAGAGUUAUAUAUCAAAACUCUUCUAGAUUUGCAUAGACUUGUAAGCAUGUAUGAUAAAUUACAACCAUUUCACUUACUCUCUUAUUUUUUUCAUAAUACUAAAUAACCUCCAGACACCAGCAUUUUGCAAUACUAUCCUUAUUUUUAUAUACAUUUUUUUUUCAUAUUGAUUCUAAAUUAAAAAAAUCAUAUAAAUUGAAAUUAAAAUAAAAAAAUUUUAAAUACUAAAAAUAAAAACUAUAGAUUUUGGCAAUGCAAAAGUAAUAAUAAGAUAUUUUUCUUAUACCUUUUGUUAAUUUUUUAAAUAUUUUUCUUAUAAUGAAUAUAUAUAUAUUAUAAUCUCAAGAUCAAAUAUCAAGUAAUUGUCCCAUUUGUCUCUCUUCUUCUUUAAAUUUUUUGUGCCAUGAGGAUUAUUGGAUAUUAUGAAGACAAUAAGAGGGUAAUGUUAACAUAUAUGUUUUCAUAAUGUUGAUUUUGAUGAUAACAAACAAGAUUAAGAAUGAUUAAUCUUUUAAACUCAAAUUAUUUUUUAUACAUUUUAAAUAAAUCAUUAUUUUUACAUUAUAAAGGUUUUAUAUUUAAUGGAAAAAUGAUUUUAUGAAAUUGGUUGUUUUUCAAGUUUAUAAUUUAAUUGAAAGAGUUUUGAAAACUUUGAAAUAAACAAGUAUUGCUUGAAAUUUUGAAGAAUGACUUAUUUGAAAAGUAUCAUAACAUUUUGGGCUAUAUCAUAAUUUCAGAAAGUUUUGGGAUUAACAAAGUAUUACUUAGAAAUUCUGAAAUUGGACAUAUUUGUAAAGUUUCAUAAUGUUUUGGGCCGUAAUACAGUUUUAUAAAGUUUUAGGGUCAAACUGUAAUUUUAAAAAAUAGUUCACUGUAGCAGUCGCUGUAGCAAGCGGCAUACCAGAUGUGAAAAACUAGCAAGCCGGAUGUUGGACAUAAUAUAUCCGAAUUGAAAGCGGCUUACCGGAUAUGGUUAAACGGCAAACCGAAUUUUGGGCAGUAAACUUCUGGAGCAUAAACGGCUUACCGAAUUUUGCAAGCGGCAUGCCGGAUAUUCUGAAAUUUAAAUUUUUGCCUUAACGGUAACAUAAAAGCGGCUUACCGGAUUCCUAAACGGCAAACUGGUUAUGACCAAAAUGUUCAUAACGGCUAGUUUUUGAGCUCAAACUAUAUAAACUCAAAAUCAAUUCAUUUUUGGCAACCUAAGAAAACAAAAACAAGUGCACACAACUUAAUAUUGAGCUUCAAAUUCGAAAAUCAUCAUAGAUUAAAUCUUCAUUGAGCUAUCAUUUGUAUAUCCACUCUUAAAGAGAGUUUCAUUGUUGUAAUUUUUAUUUCUCAUCAAAUUGUGAGUAUACGAGUGUGAGAAACACUUAGGGUGAAGAGAUUGAGGAGAUAAUCUUUUGAUUGUAAAGGUUCAUUGACACCUUAGAAGUCAAUUGUAAAAACUUGAAGCCUUUGGAGGCAUGGAUAGUGAAAUCCUCAAGCGGGCGAGCUUGGAGGCGUGGACGUAGGCGGGGAUUGCCGAACCACGUAAAAAUCCUUGUGUUUGUUUUCUUUUCCCUUACUCUUUUAAUAUUGAGCAUGAUUGAAUUUAUUGUUUUCAAUUUGAUUAAGGCAAUAGAUUAAAUUGUUGUGUGGUUUGCUUAGCUUAAAUUUUAAAAUCCCAAUUCACCCUCCUCUUGGGUUGCCUAGUUAGUAUUUCAUUUGGUAUCAGAGCGAUGUGCUCUUGUGUAGACUUAACCGUCUAGAGUUAAAGAUCAAUAGCAACCCAAAUUAGUUCAACUUUCAUGGAAGGCCAAUCCACCACUAGACCUCCAUUCUUUGAUGGUAAUGACUAUCCUUAUUGGAAAACUAGGAUGAAAAUGUUUUUACAAGCCUUAGAUUAUGAAAUAUGGGAAAUAGUUUGUGAUGAUUCAUUCAUUCCUAGGAAGAAUGUUUUAAGUGAGUUGGAUAAGAAAAAUAUGUCUUUAAAUUCCAAGGCUACGAAUGCUUUAUUUUGUGCCUUAGAUAAAAAGGAAUUUUAUAGAGUUUCAAAUUGUUCUAAUGCUUAUGAAAUUUGGAGAAAACUUGAAAUUGUGUAUGAGGAGACUACAAACGAGGAGGAAUUUCAUGAAGUGUCGAAUUUGGCACUUAUGGCAAUUAGAGAUGAAUCGGAUGAUGAACUUGAUGAGGUAAAUGAUCUUCUUACUUAUGAUGAAUUACAUGAUGCUUUUAAAGAAUUGCAUGAUCAGUGGAUGAAACUUGGUAAAAAGAAUGCAUGCUUUAAAAAGAAAAUGCUAGAACUUACAAAUGAAAAUGAUACUAUGCAAAAAUGCAUUGAUUCAUUGAAUGAGAAGAUAAAAGAAUUAGAAUUAGAGAAUAAAACAUUGCAUGAUGGAGUUUCAUUAUCAAAUGAGAAAUUUAGCACUUCACACAAGCAUCUAAAAUCAUAUGUAGAUAACUUGAAAAUUGAAAAUGAUACUUUACAAAAAUAUAAUGAUUCAUUAAAUGAAAAGAUUAAAGGACUAGAGUUAGAUAAUAAAAUGUUGCAUGAUAGAAUUGCAUCAUUUAAAGUUAAACAAAAUAUUUCGUAUGAGCAUGAAAAAUCACAUGUUGAUAAAUUGAUGAAAGAAAAUGAUGUGAUUCAGAAAAAGAGUAAUGAGCUCAAUGAAAUUGUGUUAAAAUUCACAAAUGAUCAAAAGAACUUAGAAAAAUUACUAAGCACUCAAAAAUGUGUGUUUGAUAAAAGAGGACUUGGGUAUAAACCUUACUUGAAACAAAAAUAUUAUAAGAAUUAUUUUGUUAAGGCUACCUCCACAAGUGAUCAUAAGAUUGUUUGUCAUUAUUGUAAUGGAAAUUGUCAUAUGAGUUUUAGAUGUCCAGUUAAGACAAAUGCAUAUUAUGGAGCCAAAUGUAUUUGGGUUCCAAAAGGAACUAAAUCUAACGUUCAAGGACCCAAGAGUAUUUGGGUACCAAAGCACACAACUUGAAUAUUUUUUUUUGUAGGUACCACAAACAAGGAAUGGUGGAGAGUUCUUUGAUGAAGCUUAUGAGGAUAAUCACUUGAUCAUGGUCUAAGCAAAAAUAAUGAGGCAAGAUGAUUUAAUUGUUUUGGUAACUAUUAUUGCCUUAUUGAUUAUAAGUGAUAGUCUUUUAAUCUUAGUAAAUAUUUAACAUUUCAUUUGGUAUCAUAACAUUAAGUGCAUUAACAUGAAGUGGAUAAGCUUAUCUUGCCAUAUUAAUUUUGUUGAAUGAAUCAUAAUAAAUGAAUUUGCGAAAGUAUGCUUGUAUGUUUACAUGAUGGAAUUAUCAUUGUGUUUAACAUUGAGUGCUUUAUCAUGAUGCAUGGUUAUAUAUUUAUGACGAUAGCUUGUCAACUCAUCAUGAUAGAUUUGUUUGAUUUUGAUGAUUAUGUAAUGCCUAAGCUUGAUAAAUGAGUGAUAUGCUUGAAUUAUUAAUCUUUGAAUACUUACAUAUUUCAUGAUUGUAUGAUGUGUAUGCAUGAUAGAUGAGUUAUAUGUUUACAUUUAUAUUUCAUGCAUUAAAAGGCUUAUUGAAAUGUUUUAAAUCACAAAAUGAUUUAAAAUCAAUCAAUUUCUAAGCCAAAAAUAAAUUGGUGUAUAAUAUAAGUCUAAGAGCUUACAAAAUUUCAAAAAUAUUUUCCACAGCUUAACUGGUAUACCGCUUCUUAUCAACCAGAAAAUCGUUUUUCUUUUUUAAACUCUCUGGAUCACAUUCGGAUAACCGGAUUUAGCAAACCGGUAAGCUAAAUUAAUUUUGGUGCUCACUGGAGCAUAACCGGUUAGCCAGUUAUUGCCAACCGGUAAACCGGAUUGGCUUGGCACACAUGCUGGAAAAAUGCAGACAACCAAAUAAGGGAACCGGUAAGCCGUUUUCGGCUUGUAACAUUCUGGACACUAAUCGGCUAACCGAUUAGUGAAAUCCGGAAAACCGGUUACGGUUUUCAUGCCACUGCCUCACAACCGGAUAACCGGUUAUGUAAUUUGAUAAGCCGGAUUCGAAAGGGAAUUUUCUGCCUCAAAAUCGGACAGCCGGUUCCGGUAAACGGUAAGCCAAAUUCACACAUUUUAAAACCAUUCAUCUUCUUCUUCAUUUCGGCAAACCGGAUCCCAUUAUCUCUCUAAAAAUCGUUUCUUCCUUUAUUCUUUUUCACUCCAAAAUCCAUUAUUCUCAUUCGUUUUCGAUCCAAAUGGAUUCAUAUAACUUAUUCCCCAUCCAUUCUUGUGUCCAAAAUCAUUUUUCAAAUCCAUUUUCAUCAUCAAACUCACAAGUAGUCUUUUAUACUUGUAUUUGGACACACCAACAUUUACUGUUUUUUUUUUUUUUUUUGCAUUUGGAUUAUAUGGAUGUUUGCUAUGAUUUUGGAUUAUAUGUUUCUUCUCUCCCUAAGGACUUAAUUUUAGGAGAUACGUCACAAGAUGUAACUACUAGAUCAUCGUUUAGAAAUAUAUGUAAGCAUUUGUAAUAAUGGAUUUGCUCACUUGUUCUUUAGCUCAUAAUGAUGGCUUUUCUGAAUAGUUAUGUUGAUUUUGAUGAUCUAUAUAUUGCCAUUAUAUAUUUUUACUUUGCUUAGGAUUUGAGAUAAAGAACAUGCUUUGAUGAUUACAUGUAUUUGAUGAAGUUUGAUCUUAUGAGAUCUAUGAUUGGUGAAUGGAUCCAUUUUUUGUACUUUAUUGAUGUAUUGUUAAAUAUUCAUUAUUUGCUUUAAAUGAUAUUAAAAGGGGGAGAAAUACAUAUAUUUCGAGAAUUUUAAGCGUAUGAAAUUUUUUUUAAGUUAUAUUGAAAUGUCACAUUAGAUCCUAAAUGAGUUUAAUUUUUAAUGUGAUUAGUAAUUAUGGAGUUUGGAUAGUUGAUAAUAUGCAUGCCAAUUUGGUAAACAAAUCAAAACCUCUUUGUGAAGAGCAAUUUUCAAAAAUUUGGCAUGAACUUGGGAUGAUGAAAUUUAUUAAUAUCUCUAGUCAUGUUAUUAAUACUAUUAAAAUAGAUUUCUUGAUGAUUUUGAUGAUUAAUGAUUAUAUGUGUGUUGCUUGAUGAAUUGGUGAAGUUGUUGGUUUGUAAUAAUUGUUUAAGCCUAUAUGGAAGUGUUUUAACCAUGUUGUAUAUUUGAGGAUUUGUUCAUUUUUAAGGGGAGAUUCUGCAGAAAUUUUUUCUUGCACCAAAUGGGUAAUAUUUUCAUCGAAUUAUUUUUUAUGAUUUUAUUUCGAUUGCAUCUAUCUAUCUUUUCUUUUUUACGAUGAAGGGAGAGAUAAAUAUGAUAUGUUUUUGGAUAAAAUCAUUUUGGUUAAAAUUUUAAAUUGGCCAUAUAUUUAGGGGGAGUAUAUAAUAUGAUUUUGGAUAAUAUGUAUUUUGAACUUUUUUUAUUGUCCAGAGGGGGAGACAAAGUAAUAUAUCAUUUCGAUGUUGUUAAAAGAAGAAGAAUAAUAUUUACUUUGAGUAUUCUUUUAAUGAUUGAUAUUUGGUUAUGAUGAUGAUUUUGAGAUAAUGAUGAUUUGAUUGCAUAGUUGUUUUAUAUGAUAAUUUUAUGUUAUGAGUUGUUGCUUUGGUAAUUAAUGGAAUAAUGGUUCAUGAUAUUUUGGUGUGAUGAUUUGUGUAUGGAGUUGGCUUGUAUCAUGAUUUAUAAUAAUUUGGGAGUAAUAUUACUAAACGUGUAUUUGAGGUAAUGUUUGUUGUUAGGGGGAGAAGGUGUUGAAAUUUCUACUUAAACAAACAUGAGUAAUAAAUUUGCUACUCUUAUUCUUUUCCUUUAAGUUUUCUUUUUGAUGAUGAAAGGGGAGAAGAAUACAUGUUUUUAAAUUUAUAAAAAAAAAAUUUACUACAAUUUUUCUUUGCCAAUUAAGCUUUCUUUUUUAUGAUGAAGGGGGAGAAAAAUCCAUGUAUUUAAAUCUGUUAAUUUAGCCAAUUGGCAAAUUGUAAGAGAAGAUUAUAUUUAGGGGGAGUAAUUCGAGGAAUCGUUCUUUAAAUACAUGAAAUUUUUGUCAUCAUAAAAAAGGAGGAGAUUGUUAACAUAUAUGUUUUCAUAAUGUUGAUUUUGAUGAUAACAAACAAGAUUAAGAAUGAUUAAUCUUUUAAGCUCAAAUUAUUUUUUAUACAUUUUAAAUAAAUAAUUAUUUUUACAUUAUAAAGGUUUUAUAUUUAAUGAAAAAAUGAUUUUAUGAAAUUGGUUGUUUUUCAAGUUUAUAAUUUAAUUGAAAGAGUUUUGAAAACUUUGAAAUAAACAAGUAUUGCUUGAAAUUUUGGAGAAGGACUUAUUUGAAAAGUGUCAUAACAUUUUGGGCUAUAUCAUAAUUUCAAAAAGUUUUGGGAUUAACAAAACAUUACUUAAAAAUUCUGAAAUUGGACAUAUUUGCAAAGUUUCAUAACGUUUUAGGUUGUAAUAUAAUUUUAUAAAGUUUUGGGAUCAAACUAUAAUUUUAAAAAAUAGUUCACUGUAGCAGUUGCUGUAGCAAGCGGCUUACCGGAUGUGAAAAACUGGCAAGCCGGAUGUUGGGCAGAAUCUAUCCGAAUUGAAAGCGGCUUACCAGAUAUGGUUAAACGGCAAACCAGAUUUUGGGCAGUAAGCUUCUAGAGCAUAAACGGCUUACCGAAUUUCGCAAGCGGCAUGCCGGAUAUUCUGAAAUUCAAAUUUUUGCCUUAACGGUAACAUAAAAGCGGCUUACCGGAUUCCUAAACGGCAAGCCCGUUAUGACCAAAAUGUUCAUAACGACUAGUUUUUGAGCUCAAACUAUAUAAACUCAAAACCAAUUCAUUUUUGGCAACCUAAGCAAACAAAAACAAGUGCACACAACUUAUAUUGAGCUUCAAAUUCGAAAAUCAUCAUAGCUUAAAUCUUCAUUGAGCUAUCAUUUGUAUAUCCACUCUUAAAGGGAGUUUCAUUGUUGUAAUUUUUAUUUCUCAUCAAAUUGUGAGUGUACAAGUGUGAGAAACACUUGGGGUGAAGAGAUUGGGGAGAUAAUCUCUUGAUUGUAAAGGUUCAUUGACACCUUGGAAGUCAAUUGUAAAAACUUGAAGCCUUUGGAGGCUUGGAUAGUGAAAUCCUCAAGCGGAUAAGCUUGGAGGCGUCGACGUAGGCGGGGAUUGCCGAACCACGUAAAAAUCCUUGUGUUUGUUUUCUUUUCCCUUACUCUUUUAAUAUUGUACGUGAUUGAAUUUAUUGUUUUCAAUUUGAUUAAGGCAAUAAAUUAAAUUGUUGUGUGGUUUGCUUAGCUUAAAUUUUAAAAUCCCAAUUCACCCUCCUCUUGGGUUGCCUAGUUAGCAUUUCAGGUAAGUGGUAAGUAAUAUAAGUCGCAUAUUUAUUGAUUUUAAUAGGGAAAACUAGUUUAAUCUAAGACAAGUACAUUUUUCUUUUGAAUUUAAAUUAAUUUUAAGAUUUGAAAAGAAUCAAAUAUGACCAAAUAAACUUAUACUUAAUGACAAGAAAGACGAAAGAAAAACUAGUAAAUAUCAAAUAUACGCAUGAUAUAGUUGAUGAUAUUUAGAGAUACAAUUAAUGUAAAAUUUUAUUGAGCGUGGAAUUAUAAAAAAAAAAAAAUUGUUAAAAUAACAGUGAAUUAAUGGCCAUCUCCAAAAAAGAAGAAAAAUCAUCUAAUCUACUUCUGAUUAGAUUAGCGAAGAAGUGAUAUUUAUUUCAAAAUAUGUCAGUUAUACUUUGAUGUAAUUUUAAAAAGGGAUAAAAUUGUAACUCUAUGACAUGGUUUUCAUAAGGAUUUUUAAGGCGUGCCAAUAGCAUACUCUUUGUAUUAUUAUUAUUAUUAUUGUUUUUUUUUUGGGUCACUCUGUAUAAAUAUCAUUUUUCAUUAUGAGUCAAGGGAGUUUAUUCUAUUUUAGUAGAAUCUUCUAAACUUUGUUAUAUGCUACUUAGGACAUCAAUAACCAGUAAAAUAUUCUAUCAUUUUCACAACUCUUUUAAAAAUGUCAACAAAAAAUAAAUUUUUUGACAAAUCCUUCUUGCUAUAAAUUAGACCCCGCAAUUCAAAAAUCUUGCUAGUCUCGACGGUUAAGAUCUUGGUAUAUUUAAUAGAAAAAGUUUGGCUUUUUUUUGUUGAUCUAUUCUUCCUAGGAAUUGUGCAAGCUCUUUAAUUUGUCCAUUUGGCUAGUGUGGAAUUAGGAUCAAAUUCACUACAAAUUUCUUUAAUUUUGUAAACUAGCUGAUCCGAUACGGUUUUUAAAAUCUAUUUAUUUCUUUAUGCAGAAAGAGAUUGCAAGUCAGACAAGCACUCCAAAAUGUACUUGGCCAUUAAAAUCGUAGGUAACUAACAAACCAGCAUGUGUAUUUUAAUGAUCAACCCAGUUAGAGUGUAAUAUAUAUGUUCAGCCUGCAGUGCCUGUUUCUAAAUAUCUGGUAGUAUUAAUGUAUUCUUCAAUGGCAGCUCUUCUUUGGGCUGACUGUCUGGCUCAAUUUGUCAUGUGGACGAUGAUGGAAUAUUUAACAGAAGUAUGGAAGAUUAGCGUGGUGCACGCUGCUGGGAUUGUCAAUAUCUUUUCAGGCCUUGUCCUCGUGUUGCAGUUGCCCAUGCAAUAUCUUGUGGACACCAUCAUCAGCAAAUAUUGGAUGCUUGUGUUCUCCAGUCUUGCUUAUAGUGUCGUAAGUUAAUUAGUUUCUCCUGUAGUAAUACACAGAAAUGUUUCAAUCCAGAAUUUGGAUUUUGUUAAAGUCUAACCAUGCAUGUAUAGCAGUAGCUUAAAUCACAGACAAGGCUCUGAUCUGCAGGGCAUCGGCUUAUUGACAAUGUCAACCCCACCCGUUCUAGCUGGGUUUGUGGGCACCUGCAGUGAAUACAAGCCUGAAUGCAUCGUCGAGGGACACAAAAUUCUCUUUUACGCAGCUUUAGGUCUAUUAGCCUUCGCAAGUUCAAGCUGCUCGGUCGAAUCCACAGAGUUUGCAGAAGAACAGCUUGAAAUUGCAAUAAAUGAACAUAUUUCCCUGUCUUUAAUCCAGCGGGAAUUCUUUAAAUUAUUAUUGUUCAUGGUGCCAGUCGCUGCGAUCAUACCAAUUUCUUACAUAAAGCCUUGGAAUCUCAGAUUUGGGGUUUCAGCAAUAUGUACUGUAAUAGCGACACUUCUUUUCUUAAGUGGCACAUGUACUUAUGAAAAUAAGGAACCUGAAGGGAGUCCACUCACAAGUGUAUUCAGAGUAUUUGUAGCCUCUACUACCAAAUUAUUCUAUAGGCUCCCGAGCGAUGCCUCUGAGCUCUAUGAGGGCAACGACAAUGAUGAUUCCUUUUCUGACAGUGAUGAUUCCUCUUUUGUGCAACCAACUUGUGGCCUCGGGUAAAGUUUUGCACUCUCUCUAUAGUGCUUACCAUAUCCGCCAUUAAUCGUACUUGACAACUAGAGAUAUUAUAUUUAAUUAAUUAAUAUUUUGCAGAUGCCUAGACAAGGCUGCAGUUAUAUUACCAAACGGAACGAUAGAGCAACAAGAGACAAACAGAUGGAGACUAUGCAGCGUUACAGAAGUUGAAGAAACAAAACGUCUUUUACGAAUGAUUCCGAUUUGCUUAACCUUCAUCAUACCAGGGGUAGUUUCUUCAAUUGGAAACACUUACUUUGUUGAGCAAGCGGACCUCUUAAACAAAAAAGUCGGAAACUUGAAGGCCACUACUGUAAUACUCUUGCCGUACUAUAACAAUGUAAACAAAAGGGUCGCUAAAAUGUACACAGGGUGUCUUCUCUUGUUUGCUUUAAUGGGAAGGAAAAAGUAUGUUCAUGUCGUGGGAUUUGCAAUAUCAAUGGUCGCAGCAAUACUAUGCUGUAUAACAGCAGCAAUGGUCGAGAAUCGAAGGUUGGAUGUUGCUAGAAGCCAUGGUUUAAUUGACAAGCCUGAUGCUGAAAUCCCCAUGAGCCUUUUUUGGUUGCUGCCGCAGUUUUUUCUUCUGGGAUGCUUUGAUGGGAUCCGUGAAAAAAGCAUCGAUGACUUCUUCACUGAUCAGUGUCCUCGCUCACUGAGCAAAUACGCGACACUCUUUUCUACUGCUGUUACGGGACUAGGAGUUAUUGGAGGUGUGCUAUCUGUUUACCUUGUGGGAAUCAUCAGUGAAUCGAAAAGGAAAAAUAAUUGGUUUCAGUUCACGCUCAAUCACAGCCGUCUGGAUAAUUAUUACUGGGUGUUGGCUGCAUUCACAGCAGCCAAUCUUGCUGCGUACAUAAUCUUGGCAAUGUUGCUUCCUCUCCGAGAUGCGAGUUCUGAAUUCCUUGAAAACUUCCUUGAAGAUGCAUAAGGUCGUCAUCAACAACUUGUCUGCUGAUGUUGUUGAUGUUUCGCUUUAGAGUUUGGUUUAAUGCUCCUUGGCUUCAAGUUUUAAUGUAAAACCAAACUUAUGUGUCAACAAUAACAACAAGGUAAUAAGGCAUUAAGAUAGAACUAAAGAAUGCAAGUUUGAGAAUUUCAUUUAACAAGCAUAUUGUCGGUUUUUUUUUUUUUCAUUCAAUUAAUGCACAGCCUGCUGAAUUACAGUUAAAUGGAAUAAUAAAUAUAUUCAUUUUGUUGCGUCGAGUUUCGAGUUUUGAUGAAAGAGAAAUGCUAAAGGUCGGGAACGCUGAGAGAACACUGAGAGAAACGGCAGCUUGUGCUGCCGUUUCGUGUUCUCUCAGCUCCCCCCCAACAUGACUAAGAAAGCGAGCCCCCACGUGAAAAAAUAAAUCAGCUCAAGUCACUUUUACCAAAAGCUGCCGUUUGGCCCGACACUCAAGUCACUUUUGCCAAGUGAAUUCUGCCCCCCACGUGAAAGUUUAAGUUCUCUCCUUGCUCAUGACCAAGCAAAGCUAAGUUUGAGUUCUCUCCUUGCUCCUUCACUCGUUCACUUCUCCUUCGUUUGUCGUUCACUUCUUUACUCAUCACAAACCAUUACUUCAGCUCAUCCAAUCAGUGAAUCAGUGGCCAUUACUUCAGUUCGUUCAUUUCUCGAUCUAGAUCUUGAAAAUGAUAAUGUGUUUAAUUUAGAAUUUUUUAGAAAUCUUUUUAUUUAAAUGAUAUGUUUGAUUUAUAAUUUUUUAAUUUAAAUGUACCUGCAUUUACUGAUUAAAUGAUAAUGUGUUUAAUUUAGAAUUUUUUAGGAUUAAAUUAUUGCUGGAAAAAUUUAUAAUAAUUUAUUCUUAAUUUAAAUUUUGUUUGAACAUAGAAUUAUUUUUAAUUUAAAUUGUGUUCGAUUUAUAAUUUAUUUAAUUUAAAUUGUUAGAACUUUAAUGGAUUAAAUUAUUGCUGGAAAAAUUUAUAAUAAUUUAUUCUUAAUUUAAAUUUUGUUUCCACAUUGAAUUUUUGUAUUUAAAUUGUGUUCGAUUUAUCAUUUUUUUAAUUUAAAUUAUUAGAACUUUAAUGGAUUAAAUUAUUGCUGGAAAAAUUUAUAAUAAUUUAUUCUUAAUUUAUAAUAAUUUAUAAUAACCUAUAUACCCAACCCAAGGUGGUGUGCACAAUCUUUAUCAACCAUUUCCUUAUACUUGGCAACAAGUAAGCUUUUAUCUAAAAAUCACAAUUUGUUAGUGUACACUUAUAUUUUUUAAUUUCAAAAAUCUCAUAUCAGGUUUUAAAUUUUUACGUAUUACAGCAACCACUCCCGCCGUAUGCUUUGCAACCACAUUAUCCUUCUCAUUCGAUGACGUACGAAGGAUCUGGAAGUUUCCAACAUUUGCUACAUCAACAACAUAAUGAAGACAACAAUGGAUGUGAUUGAUGUUUGAAUUUGGUUAAAUCGAACUAAUUACAGUAGCUUUUUUUUCUAAAUUGCUUCUUGACAAGUGAACCAUCUUUAUGGAGUAGUUGUUGUUGACAUUAAGUACGGGCAAGUAUAGACAAUUUCAAGGAUGUUUUUGUUGUGAUUUGAAUUUGGGCAUCUUGCUUUUUGUUUGCAAUAUGUCUCGAUAAUGUUGGUAUCGUCAUCAUAAUGAAGACAACAAUGGAUGUGAUUGAUGUUUGAAUUUGGUUAAAUCGAACUAAUUACAGUAGCUUUUUUUUCUAAAUUGCUUCUUGACAAGUGAACCAUCUUUAUGGAGUAGUUGUUGUUGACAUUAAGUACGGGCAAGUAUAGACAAUUUCAAGGAUGUUUUUGUUGUGAUUUGAAUUUGGCCAUCUUGCUUUUUGUUUGCAAUAUGUCUCGAUAAUGUUGGUAUCGUCAUCAUAUACUUAAUUCUUUUAUUUUCAAUCUUUAUUAUUUGUAGUAUCGUCAUCAUAUACUUAUACCCAACCAGCAGUUUUGAACAAAUAAUUAUCAACCAAAAAUUUCAACAAAAUAAUUAUUUACAAAGUUACCAACAAUUAUCCAAAAAUAAUUAUCAAAAAGUAAUUCCAAACAACAUAAUCACUCUUAUUUAAAUUACCAAACAAAAUUAUUAAUUAUUAAAAUAAUUAUCAACAAUACAAUUACCAAAAUAAUUCCCAACAAAUAAUCACUCCACAAAAUAAUUACCAAACAUAAUUACCAACAAUUAUCAUAAAUUAAUUAUUAAAAUAAUUAUCAACAAUACAAUUACCAAAAUAAUUCUCAACAAAACAAUCACUCCGCAAAAUAAGGAGUGCUGGAUUUCACAAGCAUCAGAAUUCAAGAACUAAUAUGAGAAGAACAGAGAAACAAGGCUGUUUCUCAUAUAAGAAAGUUAAAAACUAAUGAAAUUGUUCAACUCUGUGCCUUCCAAAUCCCCCCAAAAGGGAAAAACCAUAAACCUCAUAACUAAACAUAUAAUAAACCAAAACCAAGACCAUUAAGCACUAGUCCUUUAUUCCAAACAUCCAAAUCAUAAGGAUUAAGAUUUUAAGACCCAACUGAAACAUGAAAAACAAAGGCCUUGGACCAUCAACAAAUUCAGCUUUAUGCUUGAGUCUUUGCCAUAUGGACGAUCAAAUCAAUCACACGGGAACUGCAAAAGAAAGGAACAUGUCAAGGACGUGAAAAGCUAUCAUAGAACUUACUUCAAAGCAUCGGUAGGGAGAAGGGGGGAAAAAAAAACAGAUUAGAACAAUCACAAAGAGAAGAUUUACAUUACCUGUAACCCCAUUCAUUGUCAUACCAAGAGACGACUUUCACGAAGUUCUUGCUCAAAGCAAUACCAGCCUUGGCAUCAAAAAUGCUGGACCUGCAAAGAAGGAAGAAGGAGUGCUGGAACGGAUCUGUUGAAAGCGAAGAAGGAAAAUGAUUUGAAAGGGAGUACUUUUUCUUUUUCACAUGGGGGACAGAUAUCUGUUACUCACGUGGGGUGGGGGGGGAGGUGAGAGAACGAAACGGUAGCACAAGCUGCCGUUUCUCUCAGCGUUCUCUCAGGGUUCCCGAUGUUUAGCAGCACUCUUGAUGAAAAUGUCUGUUUACACGGUCUCAUCCUUUAAAUGUUAUUUUUAUUUGAGUUGGACUAUUGGCACCCCUCUAAAAUUCUUUUAAAACCCCCUUUUGAAUUAUACUAAACCUAAUGCCAAAAUUACUCUUAUUUCUAAAUAAACACAUUUAAUUUGUGAAUCUUUUAAUUUUUUUUCUCACUUCUCACAAAUGAAAUUUUUAUCGGUGAUAAACUUCUUGAUAAAAAUCAAUGAAUCAAAUAAAUUAUCUAUAAGAUUAUGAUGUAAAAAGUCAGAUAAUUUUAUCAGAAUGUGUUUUAUUUAUUAUCAAUAGAUUGUCUUAUUUAUUGAAGAAAAAUUUAUAGAUAAUUUGAGGAAAAAAAAUUACAUGUGUGAGUGUGAUAGUGAUAGUAUAGAAAAUACAAUUUUUUUUUAAAGAGAAAAAAUACAAAAGUGAAGUGAGAUAAAAUAGAUGUGAGAUGUAUUAAAUUAUUUAUCUUAAAAUGUAAUUAUAAUAGAAGAGGGAUUUUAAAAGAAUUAUGUAAGGGUGCCAAUAGUCCAACUCUUUUUUAAUUUUCUUUUUGGGAGCUCCAUAGUAGAAUAUAUAUCAUUUGGGGCAUAUAUAUUUAAUUUUGGAGUUAUAGUAAUAACAAAUAAUAAUAAUAAUAACAAUAAUAAUUAAAGCUAUCAUAGAUAUAUACUGAGGCUUGGCUGCUUGAUUUGGCUAAAAAUUGAGGCUCAAAAUGGCCUCGAUCUUAUGACUACAAAACAAAUAAUAAUAAUAAUAACAAUAAUAAUUAAAAAAAAAAUACAAGGAUUGCCCGGUUGCCCUGACUUGUGAGAUGAGAAAUCUUAAAAGUUAAAACUGUGAAGUCUUGAACUAUGAAAUCUUUUGCUCAGCAGAAGCAACAACAUUCGGCAUCAUCCUCGAAAGGCCCAUCAGUUUCUUCAAAUUCAGUCUCUUCAAGAUUUUCCAACCUCGAAUCUCUGAAAGCAUACAAUAUUGCAACAACAAUGAACAAAACAAGAUUAGCAGCAGUAAGUGCAGCCAAUACCCAGUAAUAAUUAUCCAAACGACUCUUAUUAAGCGUGUCUUGAAACCAAUUCUGCUUCCCUUUCCGUUCACUAAUGAUUCCCACAAGGUAAAUGGACAGGACACCACCCAUAGUUCCUAAUCCUAAAGUACAGCUGAAAAUAUGUGCCACAUACUUGAACAAUAAGGGAGGAAACUGAUCAAUGAAGAAGCACGCAAUGCUUACUUCACAAACCCCAUCAAAGCCUCCGAGGAGUAAAAACUGUGGGAGCAACCAAAACAUGCUCAUAGGGAUUUUAUCAUCAGGCUUGUCAAUUAAACCGUGGCUUCUAAUAACAUCUAGCCUUCGAGUCUCCACUUUUGCUGCUGUUAUGCAGCAUAGUAUUGCUAGAACCAUUGACGUUGCAAAUCCAAUGGCAGGAGCAUAUUUUUUGCUUUGCGAUUCACCAAAGGAGUUGAGAAACUUUGCAUAGAGGUUAGUGAAUUGUGUCCUUGCUAUGUCAUAAAACAAUAAGAGUAUUGGAAGAGGGACGCUUAAUUUUCCAACUUUUCGGUUUAAAUGGUCUGCCUGCUCAAGAAAGUAAGUAAACCCAAUAGAAGAAACUACUCCUGGUAUGAUGAAGGUUAAGCAAAUUGGAAUCAUUCGUAAAAGACCUUUUGUUUCUUCAAUUUCUGUGACUCUGCAUAGUCUCCAUCUGUUUCCUUCUUGCUGCUCUAGCGUCUUGUCCGGUAAUAUAAUUGCAGCUUUGUCUAGGCACCUGCAAAAUCCAAAUAUAAAGUUACUAGUUGUCGAGUAUAUCUGCGUGGAUGGUAAACACUGGAGAGAGUACGAACCUGAGGCUGCGAGUAUGCUGCACAACAUAAAUCUCAUCAACAUUAUCUCUCUCAUAGAGCUCAGAGGCAUUCCUUGGGAUCCUAUAAAACAAUUUGAGUGCAGAGGCUACAAAGACUCUGAAGACAGUUGUGAGUGGACUCCCUAGGGGUUUCCUACGUCUAUAAGAACAAGAGCCACUUAAGAAAACAAGUGUUGCUACCACAGUAAAUAUUGCUGGAAUCCCAAAUCUGAUUUUCCAAGGCUUUAUGUAAGGAAAUGCUGUAAGUGCAAUUAUAGGAACUAAGACCACCCCGCAGAAGCUGAAGAAAAACAGCUUGGCGGAACGCAUGGAAACUUGUUCUGCUCUCGAAUCUGUCAUUUGAUCUGCCAUGAACCCUCCAAUUGAGACCAAGUGACCUGACAUUCCAAAGGCUAUCAGACCUAAAGCUGUGUAAAAGAGAAUUUUCUGUCCCUCGCCGAAUCAUUCAGGCUUGUAUUCACUGCAGGUGCCCAUAGCCCCAGCUAAUACAGGUGGUGUUGACAUUGUCAAGAAUCCCAUACCCUGCAAAACAGAGUUGUUUGUGAUCUAAGCUACUGCUAUAAUUAGGGCACGCUUGUACUAGUUGUGAUUCAGCUUGAUUUUGAAAGCGCUAUAAGAGGAACUAUCGUACAGCACUAUAAGCAAGACUGGAGACCAAAAGCAUCCAAUAGUUACUGAUGAUAGUAUCAACGAGCUUUUGUAUAGCUAAAGGCAGCAUGAGGACAGUGCCCCAAAAGAAAUUGACAAUGGCAGCAGCACGCACUAAGCUGAUCUUCCAUACGUUUGUUAAGUAUGUCAUCAUCACCCACAUUGCAUAGGCAGCAAAAAUAUCAGCCCAAAAAAGAACUGCAAUUGAAGAGAACAACAAGAAAUUGAGAAACAAGCAAAGAUAUUAUAAACAUCGGGUUUAUUAUAUAAUAAAAUACACUAGUUAGUUUAUUACAUGUGAUUCGGCCAAUGGAGGAAAGCAUUUCUAAGUUAUAGUGUCACUCGCACUAUCUUUCUGCAAAAAGAAAGUGAAAAGUUACAGAAAACCCAGAUGAGUUCAAGAAAUUGUUAAAAGGAAAAUGGACAAAGAGCUUACACAAUUUAAAGGAAAAAUGCAAAUAACUGAACCUCAAAAGAGAAAAAAGAAAUAAUGAAGUGGGCCUGUUGAGACUUGGAAAGAUUUUGGGAAUGCAGGGUCUAAUUUAUGGGUAUGAAUGAUGUCAAUAAAGAAGCAUCCCAGAAAAGCGUGAUGUGGUUAAGAGCGAUGUCGAAACAAUCUCUUGGUUGAAAUUCUGCUCUGCCAAGCUUUUUCAAAGGAAGAUCCGAGUUUCCCAUCUCCCCUUUGUGUGCAUAUCUCUAAUAAGAAAGACAUUUGUGAGAUGCUCAUCAUAUGUGCUUUGGAUUUUAUGAAGUAAACCAAUUGACUUGGAUAUUAAGCGAAAGCCAAUCUAGGGGCAAUGUGCAAUAUAUUCACACGGCUGCUAGCAUGGCUAAAUUCAUUUUUGCUAGUUUAGUUAUUAUUAUGAUUAUUUCUUAAUCAUUACAUGCAAAGAAGGGAAAAUUUGUGAGGACAAAGAGUGAUACUUUUGAAAGCAAUCCCUGGAGAGAUGAAAGCUGACCAUACCGCGUUUUUUUCCCCAUCAUUUUUCCUGUUUGGGAUUGCAAAAGUCCAUAAUAAUUGAAUUUGGUAAUGGGUAUUUUGGUAUACGAUAUCUCCCUUCUUUGCUGAAUAACUGCUAGGCAUUGACACUGACUUGGAAGAAUUCAAAACCCAUGUCGUGUGAAGAACAUGUAUCAAAAUUAUGAUUCGAAAAUGCAAGCAUGUUGCUAUCAAUCCCACGACAUCUAUUUUAAAUUUCUCAGCAUACACACUUCUCUUGUGCCACAGCGUUUUACUAGUGAAUGAGGGAAUGUAUAGGCGCAAUGGCGGGUGAAUGGAAUUGUGAAGUCAAAAAAAUAACACACAGCCGCACUUUUGCAGCAGAAAUGUAAGAAACGAACUUCCAUUAGUUGACAAUAUACAUCAAUUAUCAGUGUGCUUGCAAGUUUUUGUACUUUGUAGCACAUCCCUUGAACGUUCCUCCUAAGAUUCUCUCAAGCCCUCACACAUACGACUUUAAGCGGAGAAGGAAAGAAAAGGAUGGUUCUGCUGCCCAAAAUGCAACCCUAGUUUAUAUGGGCAGAGAUAAGUAGUCGCCCUACCUUCAAGGUGGACUACAAAUUAAGUCUAAAAUCUAUAACUCAGGCUUCCUCAUUCAAUUCGACAAGAGCUUUAUUUUAAAAAUUCUCAGAAUUUGUACAAUAACACUACAAAGUCUUGUACAGCAUUUGUAUCCAACAAUACACACACAAGUCCCCAGAUGAUCACAAAACGCAAACUACCCCAGAAAGAUUUGAACUCUCCCACACUUCGAUGCCCUCAACGUCCUCUCUACUGACGAACAAUCUAUUCCCCCCGGCAUCGAUUCUACUAAUUGCACCCCUACCCGAAUCUUCUGCUCUAUCCACAAAAUUUCUUCUAAACAAUCCCUCACUACAACUUCUAUUUCUUCCCUCUCGAACUCUUGACCAAACUUCUAAGCUGCCCCCUCUCCCCACAAACACUUGAUUUUUGUAACAAUGUAUCAACUUGUUUCCCCCAUUAUUAUUACCGUUACUACUAAUCAUGCUGGGAUUCUUGUCCUCCAUAUAUACCCACGGAUCUUCCCCUAAAUUACGUAAGUCUGCCAUCGCUAUAUCCCCCGACUUGGAACAGAUUUUAAACAAAGUCAACUCGUCAACGUCCACGUCCACGUCCGCGAACGAGUCACCGAACCUAGCGCUCCGUCCCGAGCCUGGCUCGUUUGUUUCCCAAACCACCUCUCCCGACCGCGGGUCCCACAUUCGGACGUAGCCGGAAUAACCGAACGCCCCCCACGCGAUGGCGCUUCCGAGGACCACCCCCGUGGCUGGGAUCCACGUGAGCUUUCCGACCGCCAUGUUCUUUGACGAGGCUCCCGAUUGUCUGCCGAUCUCCGACGAGAUCUGGAGCGUUGACUUGUCGAUCAAGAGGACACUGUUCUCUUUGUGCGGGCAGACGAACGACGAGAACACUGUGGUUGGCGAGUCGGCGAUGGCGGUGACGGUGGCUCUGUAGAUUCGCGGAUCGCUUGGAUCCGUCCAGUGAGCUGACGCCACGUGGCGAGAGCUGGAGAGAUCGUAGAAGUGGAUGCCCGAGGAGUAAUCGGAGCCGACGGCGGCCACGUCGGACCAAACGUGGCGGAUCGAGGUGAUGUUGUCGAGAUGCGUACGGACGGUGACGGAGUGGGAGAGGUUCCAAUCGUAGACGGAUAUCUGGCCGCCGUGUGCUAUCCAAAGAGAUCCGUCAUCGGAAGAGGCUGUAAAGGUGGAGGGAAGUGCGUCGGCUGCGGGACGCACAGUGGAGACGAUUGAGGCGUCGAUGCCUUGGAGCGGCGGUGGAGACAUCGCCGAUUUUAGCUGCGAAUCGAUGCCGUAGUAGAGGGCCUCAUCGGCGAGUUCUUGUUUGGAGAAUCGGGAGGCGGUUGAAGGGAGGCGAUUGGAGCGGAGCAGAGAGAGAAGAACAGAGAAGACGUCCGGGUCACGGUCAAUGAAAAUCGGGUUCGGUUCGUCGCUUUGGCGGUUCGAAAGAGCAUACAAGAGCGAAUCUGGACCGCCCGAUUGGAUCGUUGAUAGGGUUGUUUCGAAGAGUUUGCCUCCAACGUUGAGCUUAACUCGGUCGCCGUUUUGACGGUCAGGGGUAUGAUCGGAAUUUACGUUGUCCAUUUCUAGGAGACGGCGGCGUGUUUGUAAAGACGUUUAAGACACAGAGUGUAAUGGGGAAGGAGGAGGAAGGUUUUUGGUUAAUUGACGGUAAUGCCCUUCUUUAUAUAGCUGAGCCGAUGAACUUGUAGCUGUGUUGCUCAAUUUGAGGCUGUGCGCCGGAAAUGUAACAAAAAUCAUAAAUCAUAAUCUGCAUUAUCCGCACAGAUUUAUUUUUAUUUUUUUAUUUUUUAAAAAAUGCCGGCCUAUAUAUACAGUAACCAGAAAUUUGAUGUACAGGGCAAAUUUCUAAAGUUUUUGAGACAAAAAAAAAGACAAACAAUUAGACAUUCCAAUUCUAGCAUAAAUUAUCAACAUAUUAAAUUUAUAGGCAUUAUAACGUAUUUUAAAUUACAUUUAUUGCGUUUUCUCUUGGUUUAACAAAUUGAAAUCACACCCCUUUAAUGUAAUUAUCCCACAUUAAUUGUAUAAAAUGAAACAUGAGUGGGGCUAUUUGAAUUCACCGAUUUAUUUUCUACAAUUUCUUUUUAUUUAAGAAUUUUAUUAUCUAAAUAAUUUUUGAAAAAAUUACUUAAAUUUAUUCUUUCUUCUAUUUUUCUUCUCAAUUUCACAAAUUAUCAUUAAUUCAUUUAGAUAUAUUCUUUUAACUACAAAUAAUUGAUAUCAUUAGCUAUAGAGGAACAAAACCCACCAUUUAAAAAUGAAUAU
This 29301-nucleotide long non-coding RNA is filed under the name Citrus x clementina. RNAcentral's name for it is "Citrus clementina (C. clementina) long non-coding RNA (CCLE_LNC001971)". The record is from RNAcentral. Lineage: Eukaryota; Viridiplantae; Streptophyta; Magnoliopsida; Sapindales; Rutaceae.